This is a non-coding RNA of Microcebus murinus (gray mouse lemur), 286 nucleotides long. Lineage: Eukaryota; Metazoa; Chordata; Mammalia; Primates; Cheirogaleidae. The record is from RefSeq and is a predicted model, not a curated record.
AGUGGAAUAAUCAGAAGUCAGAAUGCUUCAAAUUGGACCUACAAUAAGUAAAGAAGGAAGCAUCACGGCCAUCCGGAGGUUGCCGCUGCCAAGUGUGGCUUCUGCAUGUUUUAAGAGUUCAUACUGAGUGACUCAGAGUAAAGAAAGAAAUGGUAAUACAAUGACAAAGCUGGAUUUAACCCCAAAUCCCACCUACAUCCCCUAAGACUGGAUGGGGAAAAAGAUAACCUUUGUUUGGAAACAAAUUUUUUUAUACAUCAAGUUUAAAACAGAAUUGUUAAAAAUU